ACUCCUACGGGAGGCAGCAGUGGGGAAUAUUGGACAAUGGGCGCAAAGCCUGAUCCAGCCAUGCGCGUGUGUGAAGAAGGCCUUCGGGUUGUAAAGCACUUUCAGCGAGGAGGAAGGGUGUUGUGUUAAUAGCACAGCAUUUUUGACGUUACUCGCAGAAGAAGCACCGGCUAACUCCGUGCCAGCAGCCGCGGUAAUACGGAGGGUGCGAGCGUUAAUCGGAAUUACUGGGCGUAAAGCGCAUGCAGGUGGUUUGUUAAGUCAGAUGUGAAAGCCCGGGGCUCAACCUCGGAAUAGCAUUUGAAACUGGCAGACUAGAGUACUGGUAGAGGGGGUAGAAUUUCAGGUGUAGCGGUGAAAUGCGUAGAGAUCUGAAGGAAUACCGGUGGCGAAGGCGGCCCCCUGGACAGAUACUGACACUCAGAUGCGAAAGCGUGGGGAGCAAACAGGAUUAGAUA
Molecule: ribosomal RNA, 458 nt
Filed under: uncultured bacterium
Lineage: Bacteria
Description: bacterial SSU rRNA
Rfam family: Bacterial small subunit ribosomal RNA
Source: RNAcentral